CCUACGGGAGGCUGCAGUGAGGAAUAUUGGUCAAUGGACGAGAGCCUGAACCAGCCAAGUAGCGUGAAGGAUGACUGCCCUAGGGGUUGUAAACUUCUUUUAUAAAGGAAUAAAACGAGGCACGUGUGCCUUUUUGCAUGUACUUUAUGAUUAAGGAUCGGCUAACUCCGGGCCAGCAGCCGCGGUAAUACGGAGGGUGCAAGCGUUGUCCGGAAUCAUUGGGCGGAAAGGGUUCGUAGGUGGCAUAUUAAGUCAGGUGUUAAAUGCAGAAGCUUAACUUCUGUUCGGCACUGGAUACUGGUAAGCUUGAAUGCGGUAGAGGUAAAGGGAAUUCCUGGUGUAGCGGUGAAAUGCGUAGAUAUGAGGAGGAACAUCGGUGGCGUAGGCGCUUUACUGGGCCGUAAUUGACACUGAGGAACGAAAGCCGGGGUAGCAAAUGGGAUUAGAUACCCGUGUAGUC
RNAcentral lists this ribosomal RNA (460 nucleotides) under uncultured bacterium. RNAcentral describes it as "partial 16S ribosomal RNA". It matches the Rfam family "Bacterial small subunit ribosomal RNA", at positions 338 to 795 of the family's 1533-position model. The record is from RNAcentral.